UACGAAGGGGGGCUAGCGUUGCUCGGAAUCACUGGGCGUAAAGGGUGCGUAGGCGGGUCUUUUAAGUCAGGGGUGAAAUCCUGGAGCUCAACUCCAGAACUGCCUUUGAUACUGAAGAUCUUGAGUUCGGGAGAGGUGAGUGGAACUGCGAGUGUAGAGGUGAAAUUCGUAGAUAUUCGCAAGAACACCAGUGGCGAAGGCGGCUCUCUGGAACGCAACUGACGCUGAGGCGCGAAAGCGUGGGGAGCAAACAGG
RNAcentral lists this ribosomal RNA (255 nucleotides) under uncultured bacterium. Its description in RNAcentral is "partial 16S ribosomal RNA". It matches the Rfam family "Bacterial small subunit ribosomal RNA", at positions 524 to 776 of the family's 1533-position model. The record is from RNAcentral.